UACGGAGGAUCCAAGCGUUAUCCGGAAUCAUUGGGUUUAAAGGGUCCGUAGGCGGCCUUAUAAGUCAGCGGCGAAAGUUUGCAGCUUAACUGUAAAAUUGCCAUUGAUACUGUAGGGCUUGAAUUUUUGUGAAGUAACUAGAAUAUGUAGUGUAGCGGUGAAAUGCUUAGAUAUUACAUGGAAUACCAAUUGCGAAGGCAGGUUACUAACAAACGAUUGACGCUGAUGGACGAAGGCGUGGGUAGCGAACAGG
Molecule: ribosomal RNA, 253 nt
Filed under: uncultured Flavobacterium sp.
Lineage: Bacteria; Pseudomonadati; Bacteroidota; Flavobacteriia; Flavobacteriales; Flavobacteriaceae
Description: partial 16S ribosomal RNA
Rfam family: Bacterial small subunit ribosomal RNA
Source: RNAcentral